Prunus avium (sweet cherry) is the source of this 226-nucleotide non-coding RNA. Lineage: Eukaryota; Viridiplantae; Streptophyta; Magnoliopsida; Rosales; Rosaceae. The record is from RefSeq and is a predicted model, not a curated record.
UCAUAAUUCACAUCAUCAGUUCCUUCCGUGCAGCUCGCUGCCCCACCUGACAUUGAAGAAUUCACAUAUACAAAAGUGAGUGCAUCUACAAAUUCAAUUGACACAGGUAAACCACCUGCUAACUGGGAGAAAGUCCUUGAAGGGAUCCGCAAAAUGAGGUCUUCUGAAGAUGCACCAGUAGACAGUAUGGGUUGUGAGAAAGCUGGAAGUGCUCUUCCUCCUAAGG